UCUAAUGUGGCAGACCUAAGUGCAUUAGGUUUAAGCCCUAAAUAUAAGUUUACUUUUUUAGAA
RNAcentral lists this transfer RNA (63 nucleotides) under Tullbergia bisetosa. Its description in RNAcentral is "tRNA-Leu". The record is from RNAcentral. Lineage: Eukaryota; Metazoa; Arthropoda; Collembola; Poduromorpha; Tullbergiidae.